Molecule: long non-coding RNA, 1423 nt
Filed under: Daucus carota (carrot)
Lineage: Eukaryota; Viridiplantae; Streptophyta; Magnoliopsida; Apiales; Apiaceae
Description: long non-coding RNA (DCAR_LNC006347)
Source: RNAcentral
AAGCUGAAACAAGUCUGUUGUAAUACAAAACAUCUCGUUUUAAUAAAAAUGUGAUCAUUGAUCAUCAUUUUAGCCUGUUUUGGGAAUAUUGAAACACUAUAAUUCUCUUUCAGUGCCUAUUGCCUGUCAAGAUUGGGGUUAAAUGGCGUUUUGGUCACUGAACUGGCCUAUAACUUUCACUUGGAUCAUCGUACUCAAAAAGCUGUCAGUCAACUGAUUAUACUGUUAAAAAAUUUCAAUCAGGUCACUGCCCGUUAGUAACGUUAAAAUUUGGACGGAAAGAUGAAUCAGCAGGUGAUGUGGCUUGUUAUUCAUCAACGUGGCAGUGUGAAAUGUGGCACUCGGGUAUAAAUACAAUAAAAUUUCCAACAAGCCCCGAAACCAGUGAACUAAAAGCAUAAAAAUGCAAACUUUAGAGUAUAUAACAUUGUGAAUACCUAUAAAUUGAAGAUGAAAUCAAUCAUACAAAUAAAAAAGACCUCUUUUUCUAUCAAAGAUUACUCAAAAGAUUAACAAACAAGAACUUACAGGGUCCCAUUUGUUCCUCCAUUUUUCACAAGAAAUUGGUGUGGAAUGAAUAAAAGAAGCAAAAGUGAAAGAUGGCGGAGGUGUAAUUGUUGCUCUAACAUCUUCAACAGCAACAUGUUUCUCCAUCUGGGCAUCACUUGUUUUUACCGCGAAACCCAAAAAUUAUAUCAAAUGAACGCGCAGAUAUAUGAUUACAAGCAAGUACAUUCAAACCCAAGAUGAUGUCCCCAGUUGCUCGAUUCUCAUCUUCGCCAUUCGAUUCUUCACCACAAGUCUCCAAUUCAACAUCCAUAACAUCAUUAGAUCCACCUCCAACACUAACUUCGUCUUCAACAUUGUUUGGUUGAGUAACACGAACCUCAAUACCCGAUCGAGUCUGUACCAUAGUUGCAAUUAGGGUGUAGAUCAGUUAAUUUAGGGUUAAUUUAGGUGAGAAUGAAAUGAUAUGAAUUGGGGAGAUAGGUCGGGGGUUUUAUUACUUGGGUCGGGUUAUAAGAAAGUUGGGUGAUUUUAUUAGUAGGUGGGUUAACCCGCUGAUCUGGCUGCACAGGCGUGAGAAUUUAACGAAGCACCGUCUAAAGUCAAAAGGAUUUAACGGCUGUGAAAUUUUUAUUGUGUUUGAUGAUUCAUUUGAAUAUUUUUACUAGUUAAGUGACCUGAGUGACAGCUUUUUGAGUACGAUGAUCCAAGUGAAAGUUAUAGGUCAGUUCAGUGACCAAAACGCCAUUUUACCCGUCAAGAUUGGUACUACCUUAUUUGUCCCUUGUUGCUGACUUCUCAAAACUGAUUUAUCAUGUUCUUCUACUCUACGAGGUUCCUUUGCAUCUGUAUCUACAUCAGAGUAAGUCAAUGUUACCAGAUAAAAUUAAGAAACAUGUUAUCCACUACAGAACAU